This 524-nucleotide ribosomal RNA is filed under the name Pseudomonas synxantha. RNAcentral describes it as "partial 16S ribosomal RNA". It matches the Rfam family "Bacterial small subunit ribosomal RNA", at positions 36 to 538 of the family's 1533-position model. Lineage: Bacteria; Pseudomonadati; Pseudomonadota; Gammaproteobacteria; Pseudomonadales; Pseudomonadaceae. The record is from RNAcentral.
GGGGCUUGGGGGCGGUCCUAAACAUGCAAGUCGAGCGGUAGUAGAGAAGAUUGCUUCUCUUGAGAGCGGCGGACGGGUGAGUAAGCCUAGGAAUCUGCCUGGUAGUGGGGGAUAACGUUCGGAAACGGACGCUAAUACCGCAUACGUCCUACGGGAGAAAGCAGGGGACCUUCGGGCCUUGCGCUAUCAGAUGAGCCUAGGUCGGAUUAGCUAGUUGGUGGGGUAAUGGCUCACCAAGGCGACGAUCCGUAACUGGUCUGAGAGGAUGAUCAGUCACACUGGAACUGAGACACGGUCCAGACUCCUACGGGAGGCAGCAGUGGGGAAUAUUGGACAAUGGGCGAAAGCCUGAUCCAGCCAUGCCGCGUGUGUGAAGAAGGUCUUCGGAUUGUAAAGCACUUUAAGUUGGGAGGAAGGGUUGUAGAUGACUACUCUGCGGUUUUUUUUUUUUCCAGUGUCCCAGAAGGGCACCUAUCUCUCUGUCAAAAUUCCUUUGUAAUGCAGAGGCGGGGAAAGGUUUUUCC